Long non-coding RNA from Dendroctonus ponderosae (mountain pine beetle), 674 nucleotides. RefSeq lists it as uncharacterized. The transcript has 3 exons. The record is from RefSeq and is a predicted model, not a curated record. NCBI's taxonomy places the organism in Eukaryota, Metazoa, Arthropoda, Insecta, Coleoptera, Curculionidae.
AAAGACGUCUGCUACAAGACGUCUUGUAAAUGCCUGGCACAAGACGUAUUUAAGACGACUUUCAAAUGCCUGCUACAAGACGUUUUGACGAACUUGCUCGAGUGCAUCCGAUUGCAGUGAAAGUUUAUUAAAUCGUCCAUUGCAGUUAGUUAUACACGUGUUUGGCUGAUUAGCUGUUUAGCUUUUUAAAAUUUUGUGAGCUUACGAUUUAUACAGAACCGAACAUGAAACGAACAAGUGCAAGUGGUAAGCUAACCAAAUAUCACAUGAGGGCCAAAAGAGCCACCGAAAGACAGAAACAUUACAAUUGCGUUAAGAGUUCGGAUAGUGGCGAGAGUUCGGAUAGUGUUUCACAUUCUGGGUGCAGCUCACCUCAACGUUGGAGGUACAAGUGAACCAAUUGUUGGAGGUUCAAGAAUUUUCAAAAUUAGGGGGAUCGUCGGCGUACGACCUAGUGAGAAGGUCUCUUAGCCUCCUUCUAGCUGACCAAAAAACUAUAGAGUAUAGCUGGCUAGGGAGAAAGGGGAAAAAAUAUGUAUGAAUUUAAAUAUUUCCAAAAUGUUGAUAGGUGCAGCGGCAAAAGCAGGCCUUUCGAGCACCGCCAAAGAGACUGAAGACGCCAUCCAAAAUUGGAUUAGAAGAGCGUCUGAUAGACAAAAUACAAAAAAAUAAAU